RNAcentral lists this ribosomal RNA (433 nucleotides) under uncultured bacterium. Its description in RNAcentral is "partial 16S ribosomal RNA". It matches the Rfam family "Bacterial small subunit ribosomal RNA", at positions 29 to 507 of the family's 1533-position model. The record is from RNAcentral.
AACGAACGCUGGCGGCAUGCCUAACACAUGCAAGUCGAACGAGACCUUCGGGUCUAGUGGCGCACGGGUGCGUAACGCGUGGGAACCUGCCCUUAGGUUCGGAAUAACUCCCCGAAAGGGGUGCUAAUACCGGAUAAUGUCUUCGGACCAACGAUUUAUCGCCCUUGGAUGGGCCCGCGUUGGAUUAGCUAGUUGGUAGGGUAAAAGCCUCCCAAGGCGACGAUCCAUAGCUGGUCUGAGAGGAUGAUCAGCCACACUGGGACUGAGACACGGCCCAGACUACUACGGGAGGCAGCAGUGGGGAAUACUGGCCAAUGGGCGAAAGCAUGAUGCAGCAAUGACGCGUGAGUGAUGAAGGCCUUAGGGUUGUAAAGCUCUUUUACCCGGGAUGAUAAUGACAGUACCGGGAGAAUAAGCUCCGGCUAACUCCGUG